This 487-nucleotide ribosomal RNA is filed under the name uncultured bacterium. RNAcentral describes it as "bacterial SSU rRNA". It matches the Rfam family "Bacterial small subunit ribosomal RNA", at positions 28 to 507 of the family's 1533-position model. The record is from RNAcentral.
GAUGAACGCUAGCGGCAGGCCUAACACAUGCAAGUCGAGGGGUAACAUAGAAAAGCUUGCUUUUCUGAUGACGACCGGCGCACGGGUGCGUAACGCGUAUACAACCUACCUUUUAGCGGGGAAUAGCCCAGGGAAACUUGGAUUAAUGCCCCAUAGUAUAUAGACUUCUCCUGAAGUUUAUAUUAAACAUUUAUGACUAUUAGAUGGGUAUGCGUCCUAUUAGUUAGUUGGUAAGGUAACGGCUUACCAAGGCAGCGAUAGGUAGGGGUCCUGAGAGGGAGAUCCCCACACUGGUACUGAGACACGGACCAGACUCCUACGGGAGGCAGCAGUGAGGAAUGUUGGACAAUGGGCGAGAGCCUGAUCCAGCCAUGCCGCGUGCAGGAAGACCGCCCUAUGGGUUGUAAACUGCUUUUACAGAGGAAGAACCACCCCCACGUGUGGGGGUUUGACGGUACUCUGCGAAUAAGGAUCGGCUAACUCCGUG